RNAcentral lists this transfer RNA (76 nucleotides) under Chloroflexota bacterium. RNAcentral describes it as "Chloroflexi bacterium (sediment metagenome) tRNA-Thr". It matches the Rfam family "tRNA". Rfam says of the family: Transfer RNA (tRNA) molecules are approximately 80 nucleotides in length. Their secondary structure includes four short double-helical elements and three loops (D, anti-codon, and T loops). Further hydrogen bonds mediate the characteristic L-shaped molecular structure. tRNAs have two regions of fundamental functional importance: the anti-codon, which is responsible for specific mRNA codon recognition, and the 3' end, to which the tRNAs corresponding amino acid is attached (by aminoacyl-tRNA synthetases). tRNAs cope with the degeneracy of the genetic code in two manners: having more than one tRNA (with a specific anti-codon) for a particular amino acid; and 'wobble' base-pairing, i.e. permitting non-standard base-pairing at the 3rd anti-codon position. The record is from RNAcentral. Lineage: Bacteria; Bacillati; Chloroflexota.
GCCACCAUAGCUCAGUUGGUAGAGCAGCGCCCUCGUAAUGCGCAGGUCGUGGGUUCGUGUCCCACUGGUGGCUCAA